UUGUCGUCAGCUCGUGUCGUGAGAUGUUGGUUAAGUCCCGCAGCGAGCGCAACCCCUAUUGUUAGUUUGCCAUCAUUCAGUUGGGCACUCUAGCGAGACUGCCGGUAAUAAACCGGAGGAAGGUGGGGAUGACGUCAAAUCAUCAUGCCCCUUAUGACCUGGGCUACACACGUGCUACAAUGGGCGGUACAAAGGGUCGCGAACCCGCGAGGGGAGCCAAUCCCAAAAAGCCGCUCUCAGUUCGGAUUGCAGGCUGCAACUCGCCUGCAUGAAGCCGGAAUCGCUAGUAAUCGCGGAUCAGCAUGCCGCGGUGAAUACGUUCCCGGGCCUU
Molecule: ribosomal RNA, 331 nt
Filed under: uncultured Anoxybacillus sp.
Lineage: Bacteria; Bacillati; Bacillota; Bacilli; Caryophanales; Anoxybacillaceae
Description: bacterial SSU rRNA
Rfam family: Bacterial small subunit ribosomal RNA
Source: RNAcentral